Molecule: transfer RNA, 71 nt
Filed under: Spirochaetaceae bacterium 4572_7
Lineage: Bacteria; Pseudomonadati; Spirochaetota; Spirochaetia; Spirochaetales; Spirochaetaceae
Description: tRNA-Arg
Rfam family: tRNA
About the family: Transfer RNA (tRNA) molecules are approximately 80 nucleotides in length.
Source: RNAcentral
AGGGGGUUGGUGUAAUGGUAACACGACGGUCUUCGGAACCGUAACUGGGGGUUCAAUUCCCUCACUUCCUG